GAGUGGCGCACGGGUGCGUAACGCGUAUACAAUCUGCCUUUAAGCGGGGAAUAGCCCAUGGAAACGUGGAUUAAUACCCCAUAGUAUGUAGACUUCACCUGGAGAUUACAUUAAACAUUUAUGGCUUAAAGAUGAGUAUGCGUCCUAUUAGUUAGUUGGUAAGGUAACGGCUUACCAAGACCGCGAUAGGUAGGGGUCCUGAGAGGGAGAUCCCCCACACUGGUACUGAGACACGGACCAGACUCCUACGGGAGGCAGCAGUGAGGAAUAUUGGACAAUGGAGGCAACUCUGAUCCAGCCAUGCCGCGUGCAGGAAGACGGCCCUAUGGGUUGUAAACUGCUUUUAUACGGGAAGAACCACAUCUACGUGUAGAUGCUUGACGGUACCGUAUGAAUAAGGACCGGCUAACUCCGUGCCAGCAGCCGCGGUAAUACGGAGGGUCCAAGCGUUAUCCGGAAUCAUUGGGUUUAAAGGGUCCGUAGGCGGGAUAAUAAGUCAGUGGUGAAAGUCUGCAGCUCAACUGUAGAAUUGCCAUUGAUACUGUUGUUCUUGAAUUAUUAUGAAGUGGUUGGAAUGAGUAGUGUAGCGGUGAAAUGCAUAGAUAUUACUCAGAACACCUAUUGCGAAGGCAGAUCACUAAUAAUAUAUUGACGC
This 655-nucleotide ribosomal RNA is filed under the name Christiangramia portivictoriae. RNAcentral's name for it is "bacterial SSU rRNA". It matches the Rfam family "Bacterial small subunit ribosomal RNA", at positions 93 to 746 of the family's 1533-position model. The record is from RNAcentral. Lineage: Bacteria; Pseudomonadati; Bacteroidota; Flavobacteriia; Flavobacteriales; Flavobacteriaceae.